GAUUUAUUGGGUUUAAAGGGAGCGUAGGCCGGAUAUUAAGCGUGUUGUGAAAUGUAGAUGCUCAACGUCUGCACUGCAGCGCGAACUGGUGUCCUUGAGUGCGCAGGAAGUCGGCGGAAUUCGUUGUGUAGCGGUGAAAUGCUUAGAUAUGACGAAGAACUCCGAUUGCGAAGGCAGCUGACUGUAGCGUUACUGACGCUGAAGCUCGAAGGUGCGGGUAUCGAACAGGAUUAGAUACCCUGGUAGUCCGCACAGUAAACGAUGGAUGCUCGUUGUUCGCCCAAUUGAGGGUGAGUGACUUAGGGAAACCGUUAAGCAUCCCACCUGGGGAGUACGCCGGCAACGGUGAAACUCAAAGGAAUUGACGGGGGCCCGCACAAGCGGAGGAACAUGUGGUUUAAUUCGAUGAUACGCGAGGAACCUUACCCGGGCUUGAACUGUAGGCGAACGAUUCAGAGAUGAUGAGGUCCUUCGGGACGCCUAUGGAGGUGCUGCAUGGUUGUCGUCAGCUCGUGCCGUGAGGUGUCGGCUUAAGUGCCAUAACGAGCGCAACCCUUGCCGCCGGUUGCCAUCACGCAGUGGUGGGCACUCCGGUGGGACUGCCAUCGCAAGAUGUGAGGAAGGUGGGGAUGACGUCAAAUCAGCACGGCCCUUACGUCCGGGGCUACACACGUGUUACAAUGG
RNAcentral lists this ribosomal RNA (684 nucleotides) under uncultured bacterium. RNAcentral's name for it is "bacterial SSU rRNA". It matches the Rfam family "Bacterial small subunit ribosomal RNA", at positions 548 to 1233 of the family's 1533-position model. The record is from RNAcentral.